RNAcentral lists this ribosomal RNA (544 nucleotides) under uncultured bacterium. RNAcentral describes it as "bacterial SSU rRNA". It matches the Rfam family "Bacterial small subunit ribosomal RNA", at positions 8 to 558 of the family's 1533-position model. The record is from RNAcentral.
AGAGUUUGAUCAUGGCUCAGGACGAACGCUGGCGGCGUGCCUAACACAUGCAAGUCACGGGGGCCUGUAGCAAUACAGGUAACCGGCGAACGGGUGCGUAACACGUGAGCAAUCUGCCGAUUUCUGGGGGAUAGCCGGUCCAACGACCGGGUAAUACCGCAUACGCUCAUUGGGGGACAUCCCCCGAUGAGGAAACCUCCGGGGGAAAUCGAGGAGCUCGCGGCCUAUCAGCUAGUUGGUGAGGUAACGGCUCACCAAGGCGACGACGGGUAGCUGGUCUGAGAGGAUGGCCAGCCACAUUGGGACUGCGACACGGCCCAGACUCCUACGGGAGGCAGCAGUGGGGAAUAUUGCGCAAUGGACGAAAGUCUGACGCAGCGACGCCGCGUGUGGGAUGAAGCUUUUCGGAGUGUAAACCACUGUUGCUCGGGACGAACCUCCCCUUUCGAGGGGACUGACGGUACCGAGUGAGGAAGCACCGGCUAACUCUGUGCCAGCAGCCGCGGUAAUACAGAAGGUGCAAGCGUUGUCCGGAAUCACUGGG